UCGGGUUGUAAAGCACUUUUGUCCGGAAAGAAAACCUUCGAGUUAAUACCUUGGGGGGAUGACGGUACCGGAAGAAUAAGCACCGGCUAACUACGUGCCAGCAGCGCGGUAAUCGUAGGGUGCGAGCGUUAAUCGGAAUUACUGGGCGUAAAGCGUGCGCAGGCGGUUCGUUAAGACAGAUGUGAAAUCCCCGGGCUUAACCUGGGAACUGCAUUUGUGACUGGCGAGCUAGAGUAUGGCAGAGGGGGGUAGAAUUCCACGUGUAGCAGUGAAAUGCGUAGAGAUGUGGAGGAAUACCGAUGGCGAAGGCAGCCCCCUGGGCCAAUACUGACGCUCAUGCACGAAAGCGUGGGGAGCAAACAGGAUUAGAUACCCUGGUAGUCCACGCCCUAAACGAUGUCAACUAGUUGUUGGGGAUUCAUUUCCUUAGUAACGUAGCUAACGCGUGAAGUUGACCGCCUGGGGAGUACGGUCGCAAGAUUAAAACUCAAAGGAAUUGACGGGGACCGCACAAGCGGUGGAUGAAUGUGGAUUAAUUCGAUGCAACGCGAAAAACCUUACCUACCCUUGACAUGGUCGGAACCUGGCUG
Molecule: ribosomal RNA, 590 nt
Filed under: uncultured Burkholderia sp.
Lineage: Bacteria; Pseudomonadati; Pseudomonadota; Betaproteobacteria; Burkholderiales; Burkholderiaceae
Description: bacterial SSU rRNA
Rfam family: Bacterial small subunit ribosomal RNA
Source: RNAcentral